This 425-nucleotide long non-coding RNA is filed under the name Pongo abelii (Sumatran orangutan). RNAcentral describes it as "lincRNA". The record is from RNAcentral. Lineage: Eukaryota; Metazoa; Chordata; Mammalia; Primates; Hominidae.
AGCAGAUGCAGGAUCCAAGCAUCUUGUACAGUCUGCAGAAUUGUCCCACUGCAAUUCAGUUGAAUAAGAAAGAAGGAGAAGCUGUGAACUGUAGGUCUAAGGACUUCUCAAAUUUUUUCAUGUAUAUGGAGUCACACUGGGCUCUUAUCAAAAUGCAGAUUCUGAUUCAGUAGGUCUGGGGAGCUGCUGCUGCUGCUGGUUCCAAACUACGCUGGAUUAAAAAGCGGCAAAGAAGCAGAAGAUAAGCACAGGGUUGCCUGGGAUGAAGUUUGCUCAGCCAUUAAAAGGUGGGAAAGUCUCCUGCUGCUGUGUAUAUGAGAGAAAGCCACUGUUACGUCGUGUCAGCUACCCAUCAAUUGAGGCAGUGGAAGCAAUUUCAUCAAGGGGUCGGUAAAAAGCCCUCCAAACCUUAAUUAUCCGAGUGC